GCUAUGGAAACACUUUCGGGUAACUGCUGUUUUUCAAAGAAUUGUUCUUUUGCUAUAACGAUUUGGUUUGGGACAUUGUUUUCGCAAAAACCAAAUUUGUUCCACCAUUGGUAGAACCAAUAUGGUAAAGGAUAAGAAAAAUUGUCAUCGAAGAAGAAAAAGAAUGACACAGACAAUUGUUCAUUUUGCUUGAAAAAGGUUCUUUCCCAAGCAAUCUGAUAAUCAUAGUAAUUAUACUUGAUAUUUUGUUUUAUUUGUCCAAUGGUCAUAAUCAUUUCUCUCAUUUUGUGAGGUUCAAGACCCCAAUCUGUUAAAGUCCAUACUUUCAAAAUUCUGACUUUACAAUAUCUUAAUUUGUUGGGAUUUUGUGGAUCAUAAUUAUUAUGUAUAACUAUAGAAUAAGUAUUGCUGAGAAUUGUUUCAUAGAACUGUUGGGAUUUUUGGAAAUUGUCUGGUAUGUAGUAAUGAUUUCUUGGGAAAAUCGUACUACAUAAUUGAUAAAUAUUUAAAUUGGGAUUUUGAGCCCAAUAUUCGGGUUCAAUGGUCAAAAUGUAUUCGUCUAUGGAUUUAUAACUGUAUUCUGUUUGGGCUGGUUCUUGGGUUAAUAGUGGAUUGGAAGAUGAUGGUUCUGUGGCAGGUGGGCCGGUAACUGCUUGUUUGAAAG
RNAcentral lists this long non-coding RNA (664 nucleotides) under Manihot esculenta (cassava). RNAcentral describes it as "long non-coding RNA (MESC_LNC010931)". The record is from RNAcentral. Lineage: Eukaryota; Viridiplantae; Streptophyta; Magnoliopsida; Malpighiales; Euphorbiaceae.